AAUUAAUUUAAGGGUUAAUUGCAUACAGGUCCCCACAAAUAUAGUGAAUUACAGAUAUAUUCCUACAAAGUUCAACUUUCAUUAGUUAUUCCUACAAAAGUCCUAAUGUAUUUACAUAUAUUCCUGCCAUUAGAAUCCGUUAAAGAAAUUUAGUUAAUCACAAUUAAAAUACUUAACCAUGAUUAAUUAAUAAGAUAAAUUGAUAAUUUUACCCUUCAUCUUCUUCCUCUUUCUCUUCGUCUUCAUCUUCUUCCUCUUCCUCUUCUUCUUCUUUUUCUUCUUCUUCUUCUCUUCCUUUUCUCCUCCUUCUUCUUCCUUUUCCUUUUCCUCAUCUUUCUUCGAAUCGGCCGCACCUUCGCCCUCCGCCUCAUUGCUGCGGGCUUCAGCAUUGUCCUUGUCGACCGCAACUCUAACAAGCUUCACCCCGCCGCUGCUGCCACCGCCACCGCUGCCGCUGCCGUCGCCGCUGUCCGCUUCCACAGCCCGAAAAGGAAGAGAAAAAAGAAAAUGGAGAUUUGUGAGGGCAUUUCUGCAAAUGUAUACCAGCUGGAGUUUUGGAGGGACAUAUUUGUGAGGGCAAAAAUGUCAUUUCACGAAUCUACUGUUAAAAAUUAAACAGUUCUUUAACGGAUGCUAACCAGAGGGACAUAUCUGAAUAUAUUAGGAAUUUUGCAAGGAUAGCUUACGAAAGUUGCACUUUAUAGGGAUAUAUCUGCAAUUCACCAUGUUUGCGAAAAUCUGUAUGCAAUUAACCCUUAAUUUAAAUUCAACAAUUAAAAUACAUAAAUUUAU
RNAcentral lists this long non-coding RNA (792 nucleotides) under Ananas comosus (pineapple). RNAcentral's name for it is "long non-coding RNA (ACOM_LNC012531)". Lineage: Eukaryota; Viridiplantae; Streptophyta; Magnoliopsida; Poales; Bromeliaceae. The record is from RNAcentral.